AACGAACGUUGGCGGCAUGGAUUAGGCAUGCAAGUCGAGCGAAUCUCACUGCUGUAGCAAUACAGUGGUGGGGGAAGCGGCGAAAGGGGCAGUAAUGCGUGGGUAACGUACCCUGGGGACGUGGAUAGCCAUUCUAACGAGUGGGUAAUACACGGCGAUUUGGCGAGGUGGCAUCACCUUGCCAGGAAAUGAAUUUCGCCUCGGGAGCGGCUCACGUGGUAUUAGCUAGUUGGUGAGGUAACGGCUCACCAAGGCGAAGAUGCCUAGCGGGUGUGAGAGCACGACCCGCGCCACUGGCACUGAGACACUGGCCAGACACCUACGGGUGGCUGCAGUCGAGAAUCUUUGGCAAUGGGCGAAAGCCUGACCAAGCGAUGCCGCGUGGAGGACGAAGGCCUUCGGGUUGUAAACUCCUGUCGAGGGGGAUCAAGGGGCAACCUUGAGUGAUCCCUGGAGGAAGCUCGGGCUAAGUUCGUGCCAGCCGCCGCAGU
Molecule: ribosomal RNA, 491 nt
Filed under: uncultured bacterium
Lineage: Bacteria
Description: bacterial SSU rRNA
Rfam family: Bacterial small subunit ribosomal RNA
Source: RNAcentral